UAUGUCAAUCGGCAAAUUCUCCCGACCAAAUUGAGCUCAUAUUUUUAAUUUACCCGACAUUGGACCAUUUUGUAUAUAUUAUUAUGUAAAAAGAAUUUUAUCAUUUAACCUAGCGUAAAGAAGAGAGUUGGACAGUCUUCUUCACCAUUUUCUUCUCUUUCUUCAAUUUUUAGAAUAAAGAGGUCGACGAUAGCGGCAAUCAAGAGGUCGACGGCGAAGUCAACAACAAAAGCCGAGUAUAGAAGCCGACAACAAAAUCAGCGAUGCCAUUGAAGAAUGAAUCCCAGCGGGAGCAAAAUUAUGUAGCAGAUAGCCUAGCCAAAUAUGCGGCACAACAACAAAAUGGAGGCAGCUUGGAGCUUUUUGCCAGUCCACCACCUUUUGUCAUGCAUCACUACCAAGCUGACUGCCUGGGAAUAGACUCUACAAGACUUGUAAAUGCCUGUGUUUUUUAAGCUACUACCCCUCCCCUUGUAAAUCCACUACAAGCAGUAGUAGUUCCUUAUAGUUCAACUAGUACUUUUGUGUAUACUACCCCCACUAGGGGAGUAGAACCUAGUAAUAUGUCUACUACUUGUAAUAGUGAUGUUAUCGGGGGUGCCUAAUGAACCCCCACCCUCUGUAUGUGUUAUCUAUAUAUAGAUCUCUCUUUUUAACCAAAAAAAAAUUGCUAUUU
Molecule: long non-coding RNA, 676 nt
Organism: Nicotiana attenuata
Lineage: Eukaryota; Viridiplantae; Streptophyta; Magnoliopsida; Solanales; Solanaceae
Exons: 2
Source: RefSeq, a predicted model, not a curated record